This 429-nucleotide ribosomal RNA is filed under the name Verrucomicrobiota bacterium. Its description in RNAcentral is "Verrucomicrobia bacterium partial 16S ribosomal RNA". It matches the Rfam family "Bacterial small subunit ribosomal RNA", at positions 355 to 776 of the family's 1533-position model. The record is from RNAcentral. Lineage: Bacteria; Pseudomonadati; Verrucomicrobiota.
UAGGGAAUCUUCCGCAAUGGACGAAAGUCUGACGGAGCAACGCCGCGUGAGUGAAGAAGGAUUUCGGUUCGUAAAACUCUGUUGUUAGGGAAGAAAAAAUGUAUAGUAACUAUAUACAAAUGCGACGGUACCUAACCAGAAAGCCACGGCUAACUACGUGCCAGCAGCCGCGGUAAUACGUAGGUGGCAAGCGUUUUCCGGAAUUAGUGGGCGUAAAGCGCGCGCAGGUGGUUGAGAAAGUCUGAUGUGAAAGCCCACGGCUCAACCGUGGAGGGUCAUUGGAAACUAAUAAACUGGAGUGCAGGGGAGAAAAGUGGAAGUCCUAGUGUAGCGGUGAGAUGCGUAGAGAUUAGGAGGUACACCGGUGGCGAAGGCGGCUUUUUGGCCUGAAACUGACACUGAAGCGCGAAAGCGUGGGGAGCACUCAGG